AUUGAACGCUGGCGGCAUGCCUUACACAUGCAAGUCGAACGGUAACAGGUCUUCGGAUGCUGACGAGUGGCGAACGGGUGAGUAAUACAUCGGAACGUGCCUAGUAGUGGGGGAUAACUACUCGAAAGAGUGGCUAAUACCGCAUGAGAUCUACGGAUGAAAGCAGGGGAUCGCAAGACCUUGUGCUACUAGAGCGGCCGAUGGCAGAUUAGGUAGUUGGUGGGAUAAAAGCUUACCAAGCCGACGAUCUGUAGCUGGUCUGAGAGGACGAUCAGCCACACUGGGACUGAGACACGGCCCAGACUCCUACGGGAGGCAGCAGUGGGGAAUUUUGGACAAUGGGCGAAAGCCUGAUCCAGCAAUGCCGCGUGCAAGAGGAAGGCCUUCGGGUUGUAAACUGCUUUUGUACGGAACGAAAAGCCCUGGGUUAAUACCCUGGGGUCAUGACGGUACCGUAAGAAUAAGCACCGGCUAACUACGUGCCAGCCGCCGCCGUAA
Molecule: ribosomal RNA, 498 nt
Filed under: uncultured bacterium
Lineage: Bacteria
Description: partial 16S ribosomal RNA
Rfam family: Bacterial small subunit ribosomal RNA
Source: RNAcentral